This is a long non-coding RNA of Cyprinus carpio carpio, 1118 nucleotides long. Lineage: Eukaryota; Metazoa; Chordata; Actinopteri; Cypriniformes; Cyprinidae. The record is from Ensembl.
GCGAAAAUGAUUUAAAAGGCUGUAUGCAUGCCAGGUCAGUAGUUGGCGAUGUCACUUCGUCAAGAAACUCCCCAUGUGAACACAUAAUUAUCAGAUAAUUAUGCGCAGACAGUUUUUGUUGACAUGGAGAGAGACAGUAACGUUACUGAGUAAAGGCAUCGGAUUCAAACUCACUUUGAAAUCCGGUUUCAAAAGCUUAAGUUUAAACUCAAAAUUCCAGGACCAAAACACACUGUUGUCGUGUAAAUGAACAGCCAAAACGCAUAAAAAGUUUUCCAUUUUCAGUUGAAAACAGUGUCAUGGAAGUUACUUACAGAAUUUGAAAGCUAAUGUCAAAAUAAUGAAUAGAAACUGCCUAAAUUCAGCAGUUGGGCUAUGUGAAAUUCUAAUUUAACUUACUUUCAAAUUUCAUUUUAGUGACUGCUGCCACUCAUGGACACGUUUGUGAGAGGAAAAUUGUCUGAAUGGCAGCUUGAAAAUCUUAUAGACACCUUUAAAGCUGCUAAAGAGGAGACAGCUUUGAAGGUCCUGCCAACUCUGCUUCCCCCAUCCAUCUACAGGAGAGGAGGAAAGGUCUUCAGACCCACCACAGAGGAGGCCCAGAAGUCAUUUAUUGACAUGCAACCUGUUGGGACCAACAUGGUUGAAUAUUUAAACCAUGAGAUGACUGGAGCAUUGCUGCACAUUCUGUGCCUCAGUGAUGAGACAAGGGGGACAUCACAGACCUUUGCCAUUAUUCCAGGCCACGCCAUUGAGACUGUGUCUUUGUUGGAGGCAGUUGAUCUUUGCUUUAAAGCUUUUUUUGUUUUUGAUGUUCAGUACACCAAGCAGUGUCUCCCCACCUGGGAGUUUCUCCAGCAUGCUGUAUAUCAAAUUGAAGGAAAAAAGUCCUCCUCUGUAAAGUUUUUGAGGACAACAGUGGUCUCAGGCUCACAUGAUAUGUAGAUGAUUUUAAAAUGUAUUUUGUUGCUGUUCUUAAAUCAACACAUCUUAAUAAAUUAAAUUGUAAUCGUAUGAGAGUUCAAAUUAGUUGUUUAAUGACUUUUAAUGCCUGAAUAUUUGGACAGAUUUACAUUUGUUAUAAAGUCUGUGGGGAAGGGUGAAUGUCAGAGGGUGUG